This 292-nucleotide ribosomal RNA is filed under the name uncultured bacterium. RNAcentral describes it as "partial 16S ribosomal RNA". It matches the Rfam family "Bacterial small subunit ribosomal RNA", at positions 505 to 796 of the family's 1533-position model. The record is from RNAcentral.
GUGCCAGCAGCCGCGGUAAUACGAGGGGGGCAAAUGUUGUUCGGAAUCACUGGGCGUAAAGGGAGCGUAGGCGGGCUUCUAAGUUAGGUGUUUAAUCCCGGGGCCCAACCCCGGUCGUGCACCUAAAACUGGGAGUCUUGAAUAGUGGAGAGGUCAGUGGAAUUGGGGGUGUAGCGGUGGAAUGCGUAGAGAUCCCCAAGAACACCAGUUGCGAAGGCGGCUGACUGGACACAUAUUGACGCUGAGGCUCGAAAGCAUGGGGAGCAAACAGGAUUAGAAACCCUCGUAGUCC